CCCCACCGCCUCGGGGGUCCUAGCUGCAGCUGCAAGGGGACGUGUGAAGAGUGCUGAGCGCCUCCCCAGGCAGAGGCGGAAUUGCACCGCAGUGGCAAGCAAGGCUGGCGGGGCUGCCGCUCAGCGCCUUGGCGUGCCCGUUGCACGCAAGCGGAGCCGGGGUUGGCUUCUGAUGUCACCAACAAGGAGUGGCGGGGGUGGAAAUAUCCUGCCUAAAAGCCACUGACGAUCGGUGCGGGUAAAACUCGUCUUGGCACACCAAGGGUCCAGUUCUAGUUCAAGCAGCUUCCCAUGUUUCGACUGAAUCCAGUUCUUUUCUCAGAACCUUGAGGACUAGAAUCGUCAUGCCCAGGGAGAAGCCCUGGCCAACAUCCAGAAGCAUCCCCUCUUCUCCACAUAUCUCUGGGAUGCUUUGGACUCCGAAGUGCCAUGCUUUGCAUGGAAACAAGGCCCCUGCCUUGCAGGCUUUUGCUGCUUCCUCCUUCUCAGCAGUCCCCACCUUUAGGAGAGAAGUCUGUGGGGAAGAGGGAUCUUUCAGCAAUCUUGGAAGUCACCAUGAAAAUCAGAAGUGAAGGUGGAGGAGCUGAGCUCAUCUGAGUCUGAAGCAGGAAGGGGAGGGCACUGGGGAUAGGGGCAGUGGGACCUUCUGGGAAAGAACUGGGCAGGCAUGGACGCUGGGAGUUGGGUUAAAAUUUAAAGCCAAAUUUAAAGGCAAGUAUAUUAGCAUUAGAUAUAUUUAAAGCCUUUGAUUGUGUGGAAUGGCCAACAAUGAAGAAAGAUGGGAUUUGAAACAAAAUUUAAGAAAAUAAUAAAUCAAUUACAUUCAGAAAAUAUGGCAAAAAUAAUUGUAAAUGAUGGUAUUACAGAAAUAAUAACCUUAAGCCAAGGAACGAGACGGUUGCCCUUUGUCCCCAGUAUUAUUUGCAUUAAUGAUGGAAGUACUGGCAAAUGCAAUUCGAAAUGAUAUACAGAUAGAAGGAAUUGGAGUAUGUCAGAAAGUUAAAAUAAAUUUAUUUGUAGAUGAUGCACUGUUAAGAUUUCAGGAUCCAAUAAAUACUAUGGAGAGUAUAUUCACAUUUAAAGGAAUUUGGAAAAUACAGCAGGUUGCAAGUAAAUGGGAAAAAAUCAGAAAUGAUGUUAUAUAAUCAUCAUAAAAUGAAGAACUGGAUAUAUUAUAAGCAAAGUAUAAAUUAAAAAUGGUAGAUAGUAUUAGAUACUUAGGAAUUGAUCUUCCAAAAAAUAGUCAAGAACUAAAGAAAUACUAUGAAAAGUUAAAGAAGGAUAUAAAAGAUAAAAUAGGAAAAUAUGAAAAGGUAAAAUUAUCACGGUUUGGAAGAAUAGUAAUAAAAAUGAAAAUUCUUCCAAAGAUUAAUUUUUUAUUUCGGAUGAUUCCAAUCAAGUUUCAUGAUCAAGAAUUAAAGGAAAUACAGAAGUGAUUGGAAGUACAUUGUAAUGGAGGGAAGAGAACAAGAAUAAGUAAAGUAUUAUGGUAUGAAUCACAAAAAAGGGUGGCCUGGGUAUUCCAGAUAUCAAAAAGUAUUGGGUUGCAAAUCAAUUAAAGAUAGUUCCAGACAUUAUAGCCCAAAGUAAAGAACUAAUAUGGAAUGAUACUGAAUUAAAAGAAUUAAGAGAAAUAGGUGAUCAUUUAGAGACAUAAUGGUUUAAAAAGGAUAUAAAAAGAUUAUUAAGAGAAUUCAAAAUCCCUUUUUAAAAAGUACUAUGGAAGUAUGGGAAAAAUGGAGACAGCAGUUAAUUUCUCCGUUAACAAGAAUUUCUCCGUUAACAAGCAGUAUUGAUGGAAGGUAAAGUGUAAGCCUAUUCAAGAAUAUUUGAAUUUCUGGAGGGGAUAUGGGUAUAAAUGAAGUAUUUUAUACACUGUUAUUUGUUAUAUGAAAUGAAAUGGAAGUAAUAAUUGGUCUGGGGGGUGCACAGUGAUAUUUGUUAUUUUUAUUAUGUGUGUGUGUGUGUAUGAAAUUUAUACAAUGUAUUUAUGCAUUCUUAAUAUUUUAGAUACCAUAAGA
Molecule: long non-coding RNA, 2021 nt
Organism: Varanus komodoensis (Komodo dragon)
Lineage: Eukaryota; Metazoa; Chordata; Lepidosauria; Squamata; Varanidae
Exons: 2
Source: RefSeq, a predicted model, not a curated record